Molecule: long non-coding RNA, 271 nt
Filed under: Lathyrus oleraceus (garden pea)
Lineage: Eukaryota; Viridiplantae; Streptophyta; Magnoliopsida; Fabales; Fabaceae
Description: Pisum sativum (pea) long non-coding RNA (PSAT_LNC006963)
Source: RNAcentral
UCAACCGAAUUUUUAAAUUAAAUAUUGAUAAAUAUGUUGAACGCCCAACUUUUAUAUUGAGUAUUUUAUUUAUAAAUAAACUUUUGGUAACCAAGUCGAGACUUAAAUUUAGUUUAUUCUUAUUAUAAUAAACUUUCUCCAAAACGUGAAUAAACAUUAAGGUACAUUUUUAGUUCAUUUAUUGUAGAAAACACAAAGAGAUUCGGAUACUGUAAAACCCAACCUACAAGCUUUGCUAUCUGUUAGAGUCCAUUUGAUAAGUCGACCUGCG